This 353-nucleotide RNase P RNA is filed under the name Hanstruepera neustonica. Its description in RNAcentral is "Bacterial RNase P class A". It matches the Rfam family "Bacterial RNase P class A". Rfam says of the family: Ribonuclease P (RNase P) is a ubiquitous endoribonuclease, found in archaea, bacteria and eukarya as well as chloroplasts and mitochondria. Its best characterised activity is the generation of mature 5'-ends of tRNAs by cleaving the 5'-leader elements of precursor-tRNAs. Lineage: Bacteria; Pseudomonadati; Bacteroidota; Flavobacteriia; Flavobacteriales; Flavobacteriaceae. The record is from Rfam by way of RNAcentral.
UAAGUAAAUCGCCUUAUCGCUGUUACGUUUUGGCGUAAUGGAGGAAAGUCCGAACACCGUAGUGCAGUCAUAGUGGUUAACGACCACCAGCCGUGAGGUUAGGAAAAGUGCAACAGAAAGCAAGUACAGGUUAAGCUGUAGUGAAAUCAGGUAAACUCUAUGAGGUGCAAUGUCAUGUAUACCAACGUUUGAGUGCGGCACGCGCGAUUGUUGGAGGGUAGGCAGCUAGAGUGUAUUGGUAACAAUGCAUCCAGAUAAAUGAUAAGGAUUUUCUUUUUUUAAUUGUUCUAAUUUUUUAGAAUUCUUUUCAAAAAAGAAAAGUACAGAAUUCGGCUUAUAGAUUUGCUUAAGCA